This 5725-nucleotide long non-coding RNA is filed under the name Podarcis lilfordi (Lilford's wall lizard). The record is from RNAcentral. Lineage: Eukaryota; Metazoa; Chordata; Lepidosauria; Squamata; Lacertidae.
CAGAAAGUGGAAUAAGAUGGCUUUAAAAAUACGGUGUGAGUGUGAGCUACAUAAACCAGCCACAACUGGUUCAUGUACAUCUGAGACUGUAUGUGCUUUCUACAGUAUUCCUUUCCAAAGCAACACGCUCAGAACCCUCAAAGACCUUUCCAGUUCUGUUGGCUCUUCUGUCAGCGAAAGUAAGUUCAUCUCACUCCCGCAAACCGUUCCAGGGGAAAAAUGAACAGAUGAAAUACAGAGACAGUUGAAAGUGGAGCUUAACUAAAUGGAAAUGAUAGAGGUAGCUCCUAGUUGACAAGCCUGGGCUUUGAUAGUUGGGGAUAGUAAUACUUCCGUACUCGUGUGACUCUUAAAUAAUUGAAUAGCGUUAUUGAUCAGCCAUGCAUUACCCAGUGAUUUAAAUAAAGGUUAUGUGAAUAGUGGGUGAUCUUGGGGAAUUUAUGUCUGAUUAGUGCCUGAGCCUACUUUGCAUUAAUAUAGCUGGGUUUCCAGCUCAAUAGAAAGAGGAUGCCGAGGCCUUUUAAUAACAUUAUCACAGUCUUACGCUAGCAUUUGAUCCAUCAAGCAAGGAUCAACUCGAGGUCAGUGGUGAGAAGAAAGGAAAAUGAGCAUCUGCUUUGCCUAUGCUUAGUUCUGUAUUUAAAGAAAUACUGCAGCAGGAGAGUUUCUCUUGCAAACCAACACAGAGUAAGGCAGCAGAGGAAAAUAAUGCUAAGAUCCUUUAGCACAUUUACUAGGAAGCAAGGAUGCUGAAAUGAGCCAAACUGCUGCUUGUGCAAACAUUCUUAAAUCACUGUGGAAUCCUAUACAUCAGGGAGUUGUACUACAGGUGUUGUACUACAACUCCUAAGAUACUUGACUAUUGGCAAUGCUGGCUAAUGGGAGCUGGAAUCCAACAACCUACGGAGGGCCACAGGUUCUCCAUGCCUGCUAUGGUUAUUCAGAGGGAAGCAGAAACAGCUGGGUAGGGUGGAGCCACUGGCAUAUGAGUUGCUAUUGCAUACCAGGAGGGAGAGAGGUGAGGUGAUGGGGAGGUUGGCAUGGUGGAAACAAACUGGGCAUUGGAUUGGCUCUGCUGGUGCACUCGCACUGCACUGACCACUCUCCCCACCUUGGCCUUCUUAGUAAGCAACAGCAGCCCAUCUGUUGGGAAGCAAGCACUGCUGCUCCACCCCACGCAACAAACCACUUCUAUAAGUAAGUCCCUCUGUGUUCAACAGGGCUUACUUCCAGAGUGGGCAUUACUGCAAUCAAACAGUACAAGCCUAAGCAUGCUUUAGUUAGGAGUAGUGAUGUAUGGAAGUGAGAGCUGGACCAUAAAGAAGGCUGAUCGCCGAAGAAUUGAUGCUUUUGAAUUAUGGUGCUGGAGGAGACUCUUGAGAGUCCCAUGGACUUCAAGAAGAUCAAACCUAUCCAUUCUGAAGGAAAUCAGCCCUGAGUGCUCACUGGAAGGACAGAUCCUGAAGCUGAGACUCCAAUACUUUGGCCACCUCACGAGAAGAGAAAACUCCCUGGAAAAGACCCUGAUGUUGGGAAACAUGGAGGGCACAAGGAGAAGGGGACGACAGAGGAUGAGAUGGUUGGACAGUGUUCUUGAAGCUACAAACAUGAGCCUGACCAAACUGCGGGAGGCAGUGGAAGACAGAAGUGCCUGGCGUGCUCUGGUCCAUGGGGUCACGAAGAGUUGGACACGACUAAACGACUAAACAACAACAACAACAACAACGCUUCACUGUGCUCAGUGGGGCUGAUUCCCAAGUAUUAUAAUUUAAAGCAGCAUUUAAAACAAUGGUCUAAAUAAAAUAAAGAGCAGGUAUUAAUAUAAAUUAAAUACAGAUAAAAAUAGCAACACACAAACUGCAGCUGCAGGCUAGAAUCCUGGAAAGACAGGUUUUAACUGAGCACCAAAAUGUCAACAAUUAUGGGACCUGUAGUACCUCCAGGAGGAGGGCAUUCCAUAAUCAGGUGUCACAAAAAAAGAAGGCCUAUCUUGUGUCCCCACCAAUUCAUUUCGCCUGGUGAUUCAACAAACUAUAGUUCCCAGGAGUCCUUCUGGGGAGGCUAUGACUGCUAAAGUGGUAUGAUGGCGCUAUAAAAAUAUAGUGUGCCUGCGGCCACUAUCUCUGAGACCUGGAGGCUGAAAAACAGCUAUAAUGAAUAAUAUUAGUGGUUGAAAUACUUUUUCUCUUUCAGGGAAACAUUUAUCAAGUCACUGCAUUCUGAGUAUGAUAUUCUAUUUCAAAUAUUUUAAUCCCACCUUUCCGCUUUGCCAAAAACAUUCCUGUACACACUGUCUAUUUCUUGUGACUGAAUUUGACUUCCAGAUGGAUAAUAUUUAUACUUUCAGUAGCUGUAUUCACUCUGGUGGUGACCUGCUGGAUGUGUGCCUAGCAUCUGGUAGUAAUGAAACAUUUCCAGCUUUUGAGAGCAACCUCAUCGUCUAAUAAAUGAGUUUUUCCUGGUUCAAUUUAUUCUUCAUUUUUCUCAUUUGGUUUGUUCAUGAUAAUCCUUAGUUGGUUUAUGACUAACAUUUAUGCCGGCCUUAAGUAUUAUGAAUGAUGGAAAAAAUAGAGAGAAAGACAAAAUGGUCCAUGUUGUGAUGUACAUUACAUAGCUGAGAAUGAUUUCACAGUCAGAUAUUUAUAUGUGUUAAGGGGAUGUGACUUGAACAGUGAAUCUGCAUAGUGACCGGCUAUUGUACACAUUCACCAGGCAGAGAAUGUGCAUGUAAACCUCCAACAAAGAGGAAAUUGUGUGCAUUUCCUGGUCAAUAUACAUAAUCUCCAACAGGUCUUGGGAAAUGUGUAGCUAUUGACUGAAUUUUGUAGAGCCGCCAGCCAUGAUGCACAAUCUCCAUCAAUCCUUGGGGAAUGUACAUAUCUUGAUUGUAUUUUGUACAUUCUUCAAGCAGUAUGCAUAUUCUCUAGCCAGUAUGCAGAAUCUCUAAGAAAUGUGAUUCUCUAUUGCACUACCUGGGCUACUUCUGACCCACUACCUCUUCUUAUACGGCCCCAAACAUACCCUCCCACUCAUCAGCCAAGCAUCAGGGAAAAAACAGGCUCCAGGAAAAUAUCAACUUUUUUCCCUGUAGUUCAGCCACCAUUUCACCACUUAGCUGAGCAGCACAAAGAUUGCAAGGAGGGGCAAGUUUUAAACAUUCCCUCCCCCAGUUCCACAAUUUUGGUGGUAAUUUCCAUGUUCAAUGCUGCUAUUAAGCUUAGGAAAAUGUGUUACAUGCACAGCCCCCAGAGCUGUUGAGGAUUAUGCAUAACACCCAGAGAAUGAACAAAAUUCAGUUGAUACAUGCACAUUUCCCAGUACCUGCUGGGGAUUGUGCAUAAUGCCCGGAGAAUGUACAAAAUUCAGUUGAAAUAGGCACAUUUCCCAAGGCCUGUUGAAUCUUAUGGACUGGGAAAUGUGCACAAUAUCCUCUUCAAAGAAGAAUGAUUUGCACAUUCUCCACGAGGCCCAGUGAAUGCGCAAUGGCCAGUUGUUAUGCACAUUAACAUCUCAACUUACAUUCCCCUUAGCUGACAGGCAUGGCCAAACUUGGUCCGCCAGCUGUUUUGGGACUACAAUUCCCAUCAUCCCUGACCACUGGUCCUGUUGGCUAGGGAUGAUGGGAGUUGUAGUCCCAAAAUGGCUGGAGAGCCAAGUUUGGCCAUGCCUGGUUUAAAUGAUCAGAGCUGUGUCAAAGGGGAAGGGGAGGGAGGUUAAGAAGGCAUCCAAAAGUGUGUCAUGUCAAUCUCAUAGUUAAAUGAGCAAAAACCAAACAUUUGGACCAGGGGUAAACAACCUACAUCUCUAGGGCCAAACACAGCCCUUAAGCCUAGUUUCAUGUGAUGCUCAGUCUAACUUUGAAAUCUCUCUGUUCACCUCUCGCAAAAGCAACCCACCAGAUGACCACUGAGCAUGGAGAAAGAUAGGGAGAGAAAUGGGAAAGAGAAUGGGAAAGGGAGAAUGGGAUGGGAGAGAGAGAGAGAGAGAGAGAGAAUGGGGUGGCCGAAAGAGAGAAAAAGGGAGGGGGAGAGAGAAAUGGCGUGGUAGAAAGAGAGACAUUGAGAAAAGGAAAUAAUGCUGCCCCUGUUUACCAUUUGUAUACAGCUCCCCUCCCCCAGCUUACCCCAGUGGAAAUGAGGCCCUUGAGUGAAAAAAUGGUUGCUCACUCUGAUCUGGACUAUAAUAUAGAGAAAUUGCUCCCAUGUCCCCACCCUCCUUUUUCCCUCAGCUAGAGCAGGUUGGAAUCACGUGUUUGAUGAGAUAAUGUCUAGUUCUGCCUCGAAAGGUACCAGAAAGGAGACAAAUUACAAAAUGGGAUUACUGUUUUCAUGACAGGAUGUAUCUGGAAAAGAAGAAAGAAAGAAAGAGAGAGAGAGAGAGAAAGUUCUUUCUUUCUGUUAUUAGGUGUACUUCCUUUCCCAAAAGAUUUUACAAGAGUUGUUGAGAUCUUAGAAAGCAUUAAACCACUCAGCUGUACACUAGGAUAUUAUUGCCACUCAACCUUUUAUAGCACCUUUCACAGUUGUUUCUUCAGAGGAACAGGGAGGUGUAGAAGUUGUAAAAUGCCCAAGGCCAGCUAGUCCAGAAGCUGCCAUUUACCUAUGUGGAAAAUGGCACAAUAAUACUUAUUUACUGUGUGGUCAUGGAUAGAUAUGAGGUGAUAAGUGGAGGAGCUUUUCACUCCUCCACUGAAAGAUUUUGUGGAAAACGCUGACUGCAUUGUCUGAUUUCCAAGCUUCACUUAGCAACUAUAGACACAUUAAAAAGGGGGUGGGGGAUGGGGGAGAAGGGGAAAAAAGAAAGAAAUGUGCAUUAAGGAAGGAAGAAGCAACCUUGUUGCUAUGACAGUGGAUGUAUCUGAGAGCACUAAGAGCCACACAAGCUUUUAGGUAAACAAUGAAUGAUGGUCUGGCCAUGUAAAUUGACCUCCUGGGGAAAACAGGUGAAGAAGUGCAAGUCAUUUGGCAAAGUGCAAAACAUUUCAUAGAAUGUACCAUAAUCUUCUGAAGAAUAUAGAUAUUUCCAUCCUUCUUGGAUUUACAAGAGGAGGCUGCCUUCGGAGAUAAAGCUUUCGGACAGCUCUAUUUCAAGCUGGCCAGAGAUCUGAUGCAAGGCAGUGUGGCUGUACAGAAAGCAUGGGAAGCUGGCUUGCAUUGAGUCAGAACUCUGGUCUGUUUAGUUUGGAAUUGUCUACAGUGGUUUUUAAGGUCCUUCCCAGAUCUCAGACCUGGGAUGUUCUAAACUGGAGGUGUCAAGUGAUUGAGCAUGGAACCUGCUGCAUGCAAGGUUAUAUGGAAUAUUUUGUUAUAUGGAAUAUUUUGGUCAGGCUUAAUCAGCACUUUUUUUAAAAAAAAAACAACAACAGGAAAUUCAUUGGAGAACUUCUGUCUUCACCGUGGAAGACAUAGGACAGAUCUCCAUGUCUGAAUUAACUUUUGCAGGAAGAGAAUCUGAGGAGCUGAGCCAGAGAGUGAGGAAAGACAAAGUUCUAGGCCUCGUAGACAAAUAUAAAAAUGGGCAAAUCACCAGGUCUGGAUGGCAUCCACCCGAGAGUUCCAAAAGAACUCAAAUGUGAAACUGCUGAUCUUCUGACAAAAAUAUGUAGUUUGUCCCUAAGAUCAGCCUCUGUUGCUGAGGACUGGAAAGUAGCCAAUGUAACAUCAAUUUUUAAAAAGGGAUCUGGGGAAAUUGGUGGAAAGCAUUGUUAAAUAUAAAAUACAAAUGG